This 492-nucleotide ribosomal RNA is filed under the name uncultured bacterium. RNAcentral describes it as "partial 16S ribosomal RNA". It matches the Rfam family "Bacterial small subunit ribosomal RNA", at positions 29 to 507 of the family's 1533-position model. The record is from RNAcentral.
AGUGAACGCUGGCGGUAGGCCUAACACAUGCAAGUCGAACGGCAGCACAGUAAGAGCUUGCUCUUACGGGUGGCGAGUGGCGGACGGGUGAGGAAUACAUCGGAAUCUACUUUUUCGUGGGGGAUAACGUAGGGAAACUUACGCUAAUACCGCAUACGACCUACGGGUGAAAGCAGGGGAUCUUCGGACCUUGCGCGAUUGAAUGGGCCGAUGUCGGAUUAGCUAGUUGGCGGGGUAAAGGCCCACCAAGGCGACGAUCCGUAGCUGGUCUGAGAGGAUGAUCAGCCACACUGGAACUGAGACACGGUCCAGACUCCUACGGGAGGCAGCAGUGGGGAAUAUUGGACAAUGGGCGCAAGCCUGAUCCAGCCGUACCGCGUGGGUGAAGAAGGCCUUCGGGUUGUAAAGCCCUUUUGUUGGGAAAGAAAAGCAGCAGGUUAAUACCCCGCUGUUCUGACGGUACCCAAAGAAUAAGCACCGGCUAACUUCGUG